Molecule: transfer RNA, 73 nt
Filed under: Planotetraspora silvatica
Lineage: Bacteria; Bacillati; Actinomycetota; Actinomycetes; Streptosporangiales; Streptosporangiaceae
Description: tRNA-Ser
Rfam family: tRNA
About the family: Transfer RNA (tRNA) molecules are approximately 80 nucleotides in length.
Source: RNAcentral
AAGGCUGUAGCGCAGAGGUCGUCGUGCCCUUUGCUCAAGGGAGGACGCCGGUUCGAAUCCGGCCGGCCUUGCC